CCUAUUUCUGGCUUUCACAGGCAGUAUGAAGCAUUAAUUGGCAUAGUCCAAUGCCUGCUCUGUUAAUGAGGCCACCCUGCAUGGUCCAGGAACAGGCAAGGAGUUACCAUCUGCCCUGCUCCGCCUCUCUCGUCUCCUUGGACUUCAAGUUCCUUGUAAAAAAAUGAAGCCAAAAGCCAGACUUCCUUCCAUGUAACCUUUGUGUGAAGACUAAUGAAUGUUGAAGUGCUGAGAGAUUCUUGCAACAGCUGAUGCAAAACAUCACAAAAAGGCUUUUCAAGCACCUGAAACAUUGAACAUCUUCAAGGGUAAGU
Molecule: long non-coding RNA, 314 nt
Filed under: Cyanistes caeruleus (blue tit)
Lineage: Eukaryota; Metazoa; Chordata; Aves; Passeriformes; Paridae
Description: lncRNA (ENSCCEG00000011950.1)
Source: RNAcentral